UCUUUAAACGGCCGCGGUAUCCUAACCGUGCAAAGGUAGCAUAAUCACUUGUCCCCUAAAUCGGGACUAGAAUGAAUGGCUAAAUGAGGAUUAAACUGUCUCUUACGGGUAAGCCAAUGAAAUUGAUAUCUCAGUACAAAAGCUGAGAUAAAAACAUAAGACGAGAAGACCCUGUGGAGCUUAAAAACCAAACCACCAAAUAUGGUCCUUGGAUUUUUAGUUGGGGCGACUUUGGAGCAAAACAAAACCUCCAAAUAUGAAUACCUACCUUAUUAAGAUAAACAUACCAAAACAAUAACAUAGACCCAGCAAUUAAACCCACCAAUUGCCUGAUAAAUGAACCAAGUUACCCCAGGGAUAACAGCGCCAUCCCCUUAUAGAGUCCCUAUCGACAAGGGGGUUUACGACCUCGAUGUUGGAUCAGGACACCCCAAUGGUGCAGCCGCCAUUAAAGGUUCGUUUGUUCAACGAUUAAUAGUCCUACGUGAUCUGAGUUC
This 497-nucleotide ribosomal RNA is filed under the name Timon kurdistanicus. RNAcentral describes it as "partial 16S ribosomal RNA". It matches the Rfam family "Bacterial large subunit ribosomal RNA", at positions 1920 to 2612 of the family's 2925-position model. Lineage: Eukaryota; Metazoa; Chordata; Lepidosauria; Squamata; Lacertidae. The record is from RNAcentral.